Molecule: ribosomal RNA, 165 nt
Filed under: uncultured bacterium
Lineage: Bacteria
Description: partial 16S rRNA
Rfam family: Bacterial small subunit ribosomal RNA
Source: RNAcentral
UAGGGAAUCUUCGGCAAUGGACGAAAGUCUGACCGAGCAACGCCGCGUGAGUGAAGAAGGUUUUCGGAUCGUAAAACUCUGUUGGCAGAGAAGAACGUUGGUGAGAGUGGAAAGCUCAUCAAGUGACGGUAACUACCCAGAAAGGGACGGCUAACUACGUGCCAC